Molecule: long non-coding RNA, 751 nt
Organism: Daphnia magna
Lineage: Eukaryota; Metazoa; Arthropoda; Branchiopoda; Diplostraca; Daphniidae
Exons: 5
Source: RefSeq, a predicted model, not a curated record
AAGGGGAUACCCUAUGUGCUUUUUGGUUGCUGUUUAGCCCCCUCCCAGUUGGCGUCAUGGUUGCCUGUGUGCUGAUGAGGGGAGGAGAACAAUGAGUUGGCGUCGUCUCGUGGUUGCCUGUGUGCUGAUGUUAAGUGGAUUGUGAUGAGUUGGCGCGUGGCAUGUUUGGGUUCUGGCUUUGUUUUGUUUUUUGUCAUAUACGCAGGAUCAGGCCAGAUUCUUUGAUGUAUCUUACCAAGGCAUUGCUAAUUUCGUGUUGGGUGUUUGUUGCUCAGUGGCUGGACAGUGAAGUAUGGCAUGGGCUGUGGUUUCAUUUUCCCCGCAGUAGGGACAGGCUGGAUCUAGUUCACUUUGGAAUCGAGCCAAGUUUGCUGCCAGUCUAUUGUGUCCUGAUCGCAACCUGAACAGGGUUCUCGUUACCUGCCUGGAUUUGUGUAUGUGCCAUUUGAGCAUGCCAGUUCUGGAUCUCAGGUGUUCCCGUAGGAUUGCUUCUUGCUCCCCUGUUGAAAGUAGGUUGCAUAUUUCCUUGGUGGCGACGAGAUUUAAGGAUUCCUUCACGGCAAGCUGGUCGGCCCUUUCGUUGCCUGGGAUACCUACAUGACUAGGUAUCCAGUCAGUAUCAGCGGGUGAUCGGUCAUUUGCUCGAUUCUUAUGAGGUCUUGUUGCUGAUCUAGGGUGCUUGGCCGGAUGAAAAGGUCUCCUCCUGGUGCUUUACUGAUUCUCGAUGCAAAUAAACCUAGUUUGUUCUCUA